AGGUGAUAGUAUUUGCUCCCUUCAAAAGUUUCCCUGACCACAAGAGAAAAAAUAUAGGUGUGGAUAAACUGUUUAAGUAAAUAGAUAUAGAUGUAAUAGGUAGAGAAACAAUUUCCCAUUUCUGUUCUGUUUCUAGUUUAUGAUAUGUUUAGAUUGCUGAUAAAAUGUAGUUCAAAGACAAUUGAACUAAAAUAAAAGUGGCAGCAGCCAUUUCUUUGUAGCACAUCACGUGUUUAAGGAAUUAUCCCAUUUGCUGGCUUUCUCUAGAUAAGCCACAGUUCUGGUGACGUUACCACUUAUUAGCUCUAUGACACUGAACAAUUUCUGUUGCCUCAUUUGUAAAAUACGGAUAAUAACUGUGACAUUUAAGUUAGAUAAUACAUAUAAAUUGUUCUUCACAGUGCCUGGUGCAUAGCUACAUACCAAAUAAAAAGAUCCCCUAUUAGUAGUCACUCAAGAAACAUUUAUUGAACAUUCAUAUACAGUAGGCAUGAAGGUCAAUGUUGGAGAUUUGAAGUCCAUUUGAAGUUACCGAAAGUUAAUUUUUGUUACUUGCAACCAAAAAUCGUAGCAAAUAUUACUGUCUUCCUUUUGACUGGGUAACAUAAAACUGAGAUAGUUCAUGGUGUCUUUGCUGUAAUCUGAAACUGAGGAGAGAUGUCUUCUCUCCCCCAGGAAAAAUGUAGGCCUGGAGAAGAAGCACUUGGCUUGCUGCAGAAAACAUUUGAAUGGUUGUAGAAGACACUUGUGGUUCAUAGUAGGAAGGGACUAACCUUGUCUCAGAUGAGACUUUGACAUUUGGACUUUCGAGUUAAUGCUGAAAUGAGAUAAGACUCUGGGCGACUGUUGGGAAUGCAUGAUAGUGUUUUGAAAUGUGAGAAGAACACGAGAUUUGGGAGGAGAAGAGGGUAGAAUGAUAUGGUUUGGAGACAUGCUCCGAUGCAAAUUUCAUGUCAAAUUGUAAUCCCCAAUGUUGGAGGUAGGGGCUUGUGAGGCGGACUGGAUCAUAGAAGCAGUUUCUCGUGGUUUAACACCAUCUGCCUUGGUGCUUUUGUUGCAAUAGUGAGUUCUUAUUAGAUCUGGUUGUUUAAAAGUAUAGCACUUCCCCCGUCUCUUGUUGCUGUUCAGGCCAUGUAAGAUGUGGUUGCUUCCCCUUAGCCUUCUGCCAUAAUUUUAAGUUUCCUGAGGCCUCCCCAGAAGCCCAGCAGAUGCCAACAUCAGGCUUCCUGUACAGCUUGCAGAAAUGUGAGCCAAUCACACCUCUUUUCUUUAUAAAUCACCUGGUCUCAGGCAUUUCUUUAUAGCAAUGUGAGAACUGAUUAUUAUAGCAUGUUACUGUACUGAAUACUGUAGGCAAUUAUAACACAAUAGUAAGUAUUUGCAUAUCUAAACAUAGAAGAGGUAUGGUAAAAAUAUAAUAUUAUAAUGUCACGGGACUACUACCAUUGUAUAUGUAUUCUGCCAUUGACCUAAAGGUCAUUAUGUGGCAUAUGACUGUAUAUAGUACAGCACUAUCUUGACUUAAAACUACAUGCCACACUGCUUAUAGCUCAAGCUGAACACUGACUUUAGUGAAAAUUUCUGAAAUGCUCUCAAUUAUGAAACUGGUAUUUCAUAGCACUAUUUAUUACAGAUAUAUUUAAAUAUCUGGGGUAUAAUAAUCUUUUACUUACAACUUUUAUUUCAAAAGUGACCUUUUAUUAUUUUAUAGCUAAUUAAGAAGGCAGCUGUGCUAUAAUGAAAGUGUCCUAAAAUAGAAACCUAAAAUUCUGUUUCUUAUUCUCAUUUUUGCCAUAAACUAAGUGAGUGUAUGGUCCUGGGUACCUCAGUUCUCUUCUCUGAGUCUCAUUAGUGAAAUGAGGGAACUGGAUUCACUAAAUCUCAGGAUUAUUUUUUCGGUGAAACUCUGCAAGUACUGACAGCAAAUGCAAAUGUUUCAAGAACAUUUGAACAAUUGUGUGGAUUCACACAGUUACUUCUAAUAAGAUCCAUUACUUUUCUCUGUCUUGUCAAAUACAAGGGAAAAGGUUUUAGGAUUAGUUAUAUUCAGAGGACACAUGUAGUCCCCAAGUUAGAAAUUUUAUGAUAAUUAUUUUAAAGUAAUUUUUUUAAAAAAAUGAAACCAUAAAUGUCUAUCGUAGAAUAUAGAAAAAUGAUAAACAGUAUAUAAGAAUAUUUAAUAAAAAUGAAUAGAAUUGGC
RNAcentral lists this long non-coding RNA (2200 nucleotides) under Homo sapiens (human). RNAcentral's name for it is "HSALNT0188070". The record is from RNAcentral. Lineage: Eukaryota; Metazoa; Chordata; Mammalia; Primates; Hominidae.